Molecule: small nucleolar RNA, 97 nt
Organism: Amaranthus tricolor (Joseph's coat)
Lineage: Eukaryota; Viridiplantae; Streptophyta; Magnoliopsida; Caryophyllales; Amaranthaceae
Product: small nucleolar RNA R30/Z108
Exons: 1
Source: RefSeq, a predicted model, not a curated record
AGAGAUUGCAAUGAGGUUAAAACGCUCCCUCUUCUGAGUAAAGUUGAGGAAAAUUGCAGGCAGAAUCGAACCAUAAAUACUAGCCACCACUGAGCAA